Molecule: ribosomal RNA, 688 nt
Filed under: uncultured Alphaproteobacteria bacterium
Lineage: Bacteria; Pseudomonadati; Pseudomonadota; Alphaproteobacteria
Description: bacterial SSU rRNA
Rfam family: Bacterial small subunit ribosomal RNA
Source: RNAcentral
GCAUGCCUAACACAUGCAAGUCGAACGAAGGCUUCGGCCUUAGUGGCGCACGGGUGCGUAACGCGUGGGAAUCUGCCCUUAGGUUCGGAAUAACAGCUGGAAACGGCUGCUAAUACCGGAUGAUGACGAAAGUCCAAAGAUUUAUCGCCUGAGGAUGAGCCCGCGUUGGAUUAGGUAGUUGGUGGGGUAAAGGCCUACCAAGCCGACGAUCCAUAGCUGGUCUGAGAGGAUGAUCAGCCACACUGGGACUGAGACACGGCCCAGACUCCUACGGGAGGCAGCAGUGGGGAAUAUUGGACAAUGGGCGAAAGCCUGAUCCAGCAAUGCCGCGUGAGUGAUGAAGGCCCUAGGGUUGUAAAGCUCUUUUACCCGGGAAGAUAAUGACUGUACCGGGAGAAUAAGCCCCGGCUAACUCCGUGCCAGCAGCCGCGGUAAUACGGAGGGGGCUAGCGUUGUUCGGAAUUACUGGGCGUAAAGCGCACGUAGGCGGCUUUGUAAGCCAGAGGUGAAAGCCUGGAGCUCAACUCCAGAACUGCCUUUGAGACUGCAUCGCUUGAAUCCAGGAGAGGUCAGUGGAAUUCCGAGUGUAGAGGUGAAAUUCGUAGAUAUUCGGAAGAACACCAGUGGCGAAGGCGGCUGACUGGACUGGUAUUGACGCUGAGGUGCGAAAGCGUGGGGAGCAAACAGG